This is a non-coding RNA of Podarcis lilfordi (Lilford's wall lizard), 1496 nucleotides long. The record is from the annotation of a GenBank genome assembly. Lineage: Eukaryota; Metazoa; Chordata; Lepidosauria; Squamata; Lacertidae.
CUGGAGACUUGAAGGCCCCCCCAAGAAACUGGCUCUCUCCCAGACGGCAAAUUUUUAACCUGAAACACGUGAGCACUUCUUUCUUUCCAUCCCAGAAUUGUACUGCCUGGUUCUGAUUCUAAAAUUUUGUCUAAAAUGUAUAAAUUGCUGCUUGAAUGGCAUUUGAAGGACGAGGAGGUUAAGUCGGUUAUGAUUCACUGGGCCAAGGAUUUUGGGUAUAAUAUACAGCUGAGUGACUGGGUAAAAUUAUGGAAAGAAGGUUUAAAAUUUACUGCAUGCAAUGCCUUAAAAGAAAAUGUGAUGAAAAUGAUGUAUAGAUGGUAUAUUACACCUGUCAAGUUAGCGAAGAUGUAUAAAGUCAGUAAUAAAUGUUGGAAAUCUAAAGAAAAAGAGGGAACAUUUUAUCACAUGUAGUGGGAAUGUAAAAAGGUGAAAUGCUUCUGGGAGAUGAUAUAUAACGAGAUGAAAAAAAUGUUGAAAUAUACAUUUAUAAAGAAACCAGAAGCAUUUUUACUAGGCAUUGUUGGGAGUGAUAUAAAUAGAAAGGAAUGUAAGCUCUUUUUAUAUGCAAUAACAGCAGCAAGAAUAUUAUUGGCCCAAAAAUGGAAGCAAGAUGAAUUACCAACGAUUGAAGAAUGGAGGAUGAAGUUAAUGGACUAUGCAGAACUAGAUAAACUAACAGGAAGGAUUCGAAACCGGCGGGACCAUAAAUUCACGGAAGACUGGAGUAAAUUUACGGACUAUCUGAAAAGUAUUUGUGAAGAUCAGAUGACGUUUGUAGAUUUGCAAGAAGUUUUGUGGGGAGUAUGAUUGGAAGUAUUGCAAAAAUGGAGAAGGGGAAGGAUGAUUUGUUAAGAGAUGUAAAGGCAAUAUAAAGUUAAGAAGUGGUUAAAAUGGUGGCUCAUCAGAGGUGCUGAUGAAAGUCCAAAAAGAUUGUAUAAGUGAUAAGUUUUGUGGUACAUUUUAUAAUUUAUAUGUUAAAAUCAAUAAAAAUUAUUUUUUUUAAAAAAAGAAUUGUACGGCCUGGUUCUAGCGGCUCGGUGACCAAGAGGGAAAACCACUCUGCGUGUGCUCCGGAGACAACCGCUCUUUAUUUUUAAGCAGAAUUCGGGUGGCAUUGUAAAUCAUCAAAUCGCAGAAUUCUAGAGUCGGAAGGGACACCUGAGGGUCAUCCAGACCAACCCGCUCCAAUGCAGGAAUAUUUUGCCAUGAGCAAGAACUCCCCACAUUGGAAGAUUGGCAAGUAAAGAUGGUUGAAUAUGUGGAUUCGGAAUCGCCGUGAUGAACUGUUUCCAAAGGACCGGGGGAAAAUUAUACUUUAUAGGAAAGAAAAUUGUAAACAUUUGAAAACGUGUGUCUGAGUCGAAAUGUUUGGUAAUGGGAAAUUAAGUAGCUGAUUUACUUAUAAGAAAGCGAUUGCUAAAAGAUUGAUGUAAGGUAAAAAAGUGAAUAUAGGAAUGUGAAGAAAUUGGUAAAGUGAUAUGGAAGUCUGUUAG